This 191-nucleotide small nuclear RNA is filed under the name Lottia gigantea (owl limpet). RNAcentral's name for it is "U2 spliceosomal RNA". It matches the Rfam family "U2 spliceosomal RNA". From Rfam's summary of the family: U2 is a small nuclear RNA (snRNA) component of the spliceosome (involved in pre-mRNA splicing). Complementary binding between U2 snRNA (in an area lying towards the 5' end but 3' to hairpin I) and the branchpoint sequence (BPS) of the intron results the bulging out of an unpaired adenosine, on the BPS, which initiates a nucleophilic attack at the intronic 5' splice site, thus starting the first of two transesterification reactions that mediate splicing. Lineage: Eukaryota; Metazoa; Mollusca; Gastropoda; Lottiidae. The record is from Rfam by way of RNAcentral.
UUUACUCUUGUUUUAAUAAACUUAUUUCAAAAGAAAAAGUAUCUGUUCUUAUCAGUUUAAUAUCUGAUACAUACCCCAUCGGGGUACUUCGAUAUUAAACUGAUUUUUGGACUUAGAUGAGGUGCCCGGAGCUUGCUCCGCCCUCAUCACGGGUUGCCCUGGUAUUGCAGUACUUGGCCCACCCUCAUAAU